This 1089-nucleotide long non-coding RNA is filed under the name Arabidopsis lyrata. RNAcentral describes it as "long non-coding RNA (ALYR_LNC002388)". The record is from RNAcentral. Lineage: Eukaryota; Viridiplantae; Streptophyta; Magnoliopsida; Brassicales; Brassicaceae.
AAUUAUCGCCUGAAGAGAUGAUCAUCGAUGGUGACGGCGGGAAAGCUCGACGGCGAACAAGGAAGAGAUUGUUCCAGCAAAUUGAUUUGCCAGAAGGGUUCCUGCGAUACAGUGAAGCAACAACAAAUUGAUUUCGGUAAGGAGUCUUCACGAAUCUGUAGAAGAGAAUAAAAAUCAGAGGAGUCCCAACCACAGCCAGCAGAAUUCGCGAGUUGGUUCAAUUUGACGUGAUCUCUGUCUGGAAGAACGAGGAAGAAGAAGAUCGAUGCAAUUCUGAAUCGAAGAAAUCAUAACAAGAGGAAAACGGAUUCAGGUUAAGGAAGAGUCGAAGAUUCUUGACUCAAAGAGAUUGUUUUCUCUUGAUUAGUACAUAAGAAGAAGGCUGCUUAAGAUAUAAGCACUAGUUGUUUUGUGGUGAUUCUCUGUUGUUGUUUUCUGGAUGCUCAUGGAAUGCUAAAAUCAACGCUUUGAUUGGAUCACAUACUGAAAAGUGAUCAGAAUGAAUUGAGGAAAGGUCUUCUUGAGUUUUCAGUCUUAAGAAAAAUCAGGUUCAUAAGAGGUCUUGCUAGUGUAUGUGGAAAGUUGUGUCUCUACAUGUUUCUCAAGAUGUUGCUGGUUUCAAAAUGAUAUUAUGGUUCACUCUAAGGGUUCAAGCUGAGUAAGAUGUAACGAAAUCAGAAGUAACAUAUAUAUAUUGCAGAAUCUUGUGGUUUUGCCACACGAAUCUUUGCUAAUAGUAUUUAUCUGAUCACCAAUUGUUCCUAUACUGUUGUUGUCAAAGAGAACAGGAAUGCGAGAAUAUGAUUGGAAAAUGGACCCAGAAGUUUGCAGAGCUUACCUAUGAGCAUAUCUUCUUGAAGGACAACUUGAGGACAAGUUGAAUUGCAGGAUCUACAAGCGUCAUCAACAACACAUGCCUCAUCAACUAGUUGGUUGGCAAUAUAAAUAUAAUGUUUUGGUAAAACUUUUUGGUGCCUCUUGGGGUUUGGAGACUGUCUGUAGAAAAAACCAUAAAUAAAGUUGUUUUAGAUUCCAAACCUUAUGAUCAGUAUUCCAAUUAACUGUUGGGAAAGAUCACGACAAUCACAG